Molecule: microRNA precursor, 195 nt
Filed under: Oryza nivara
Lineage: Eukaryota; Viridiplantae; Streptophyta; Magnoliopsida; Poales; Poaceae
Description: MIR812 microRNA precursor family
Rfam family: MIR812 microRNA precursor family
Source: Rfam by way of RNAcentral
GUUAAGUGCAAUUAUAAAUUUUUAUGUCAACUUUAAUCGUUUGUCUUAUUUAAAUUUUUUUAUAAUUAGUAUUUUUAUUGUUAUGAGAUGAUAAAAUAUUAAUAAUACUUCUUUAUAUAUGACUUAUGUUUUUAAAAUUUUUCUAAAAAAAUUUUAUACAAGAAGAACGGUUAAAAUUAUACUCGGAAAAUUAUG